RNAcentral lists this ribosomal RNA (501 nucleotides) under uncultured bacterium. RNAcentral's name for it is "partial 16S ribosomal RNA". It matches the Rfam family "Bacterial small subunit ribosomal RNA", at positions 29 to 523 of the family's 1533-position model. The record is from RNAcentral.
AUUGAACGCUGGCGGCAUGCCUUACACAUGCAAGUCGAACGGCAGCACGGGUGCUUGCACCUGGUGGCGAGUGGCGAACGGGUGAGUAAUACAUCGGAACGUACCUUAUCGUGGGGGAUAACGCAGCGAAAGCUGUGCUAAUACCGCAUACGCCCUGAGGGGGAAAGCGGGGGAUCGAAAGACCCCGCGCGAUUAGAGCGGCCGAUGCCUGAUUAGCUUGUUGGUGGGGUAAAAGCCCACCAAGGCGACGAUCAGUAGCUGGUCUGAGAGGACGAUCAGCCACGCUGGGACUGAGACACGGCCCAGACUCCUACGGGAGGCAGCAGUGGGGAAUUUUGGACAAUGGGGGCAACCCUGAUCCAGCAAUGCCGCGUGAGUGAAGAAGGCCUUCGGGUUGUAAAGCUCUUUUGUCAGGGAAGAAACACCGGCUCUAACACAGUCCGGGAAUGACGGUACCUGAAGAAUAAGCACCGGCUAACUACGUGCCAGCAGCCGCCGUAA